Helianthus annuus (common sunflower) is the source of this 2407-nucleotide RNA transcript. It is a transcript of the gene named heat shock protein 90-6, mitochondrial, with no coding region annotated. The record is from RefSeq and is a predicted model, not a curated record. Lineage: Eukaryota; Viridiplantae; Streptophyta; Magnoliopsida; Asterales; Asteraceae. The transcript has 12 exons.
ACAACCCGCUCCUUUCAUUCACAUACUAGGGUUUCCAAGAUUCAGCAUCUUCUCCAAGCUUCCUCUCUCAAUCUCAAACGCCUGAUAAGGUAAAUCAAACAUGAACUGAUCUACCGGUCUGAACUCUAGAACCAGUAAUCUCCAGAAGCUUCCAUAAACCCUAUAUUUCUUCAAACCCUACCAAAACCCUUUCCGCCAUCACUCUCUUAGAUCUCACCGCACAAACAUGCACCGGCUCUCUAGGCGUUCUGUCAACACUCUUUUCCGCUACGGCGCCCAUCGCCGCCGUGAUGCCGUCUCUGCGGCAGCGGCUUCUGCCGGUUCUCCCAAUUUCAAUGAAUCGGGUGCAGAGAGGGAUGCUAGUGGUAGGUGGUAUUCAGUUUUAACUACUGCGUCAUCCACUGGGCCUGUUUCCACAAAUUCUUUGAAAUUAGGAAACAUGAUUCCUUCUGGGAAGUGGUUUGAGUCGACGGCUUCAGACGUUCAGACACCUGAAGCACCUGUGGAGAAGUAUGAGUAUCAGGCAGAGGUAAGUCGGCUUAUGGACCUUAUUGUUAACAGUCUAUAUAGCAACAAAGAGGCGUUCCUUCGUGAACUUAUCAGGCAAGUUUCUAAAUUUUUAAACAAAUUUGCAAUGUAGUCGGUUUUUGUUUUAACUCUUUAUCUUCUAUACAAUCUAAUAAAAGUCUUAAUUAGGGGACACAUGUCCCCCUCCUAGGGCCUCUAAAACUCAUUUUCCCGCCAAAAUAUGCAUUCUCCUCAUUUCCCUUGAAUUAACCCGACACGGAAUCCGAAUCACUCAUUUGGGCCCGAUAAGUUCAUUCCAUAUAUAAAGAACAACCCGCUCCUUUCAUUCACAUACUAGGGUUUCCAAGAUUCAGCGUCUUCUCCAAGCUUCCUCUUUCAAUCUCAAACGUCUGAUAAGGUUCAAAAUAUUGCUUGAGUACAGGUAUGAGGAUAAGGCCGCUAAAAAGUAACACCUUUUGAAAAAAGCCCAGGCCAAGUCUGAAGGAAAAAACGGUUGAAGCAAAGAAGCCUAUUGUUUUGAAAGAUGGUCUCAAUCAGGUCAACUAUCUUAUUGAGCCAGCGAUAUGUUUGUAUUCACUAUGUUGGUCAGCAUACUUUCAAGAUCAAUAUAAUUAUACUAUACUAUUACUAUACUAUAUUAAUGGGAGAUAGGAAUGAACAGUGAUAUCACUACGUGUCUGAUUGUUGGGCGGUUGGUGGCUAGGAGGAAUGUUGUGAUUGGGCCGCGUCGUGUAAAGGCAGCCACAUGUUUAUAAAUCUUCCCACCUCCUAUCAGUUUCUUUCCAUUUGUAAACCCUUGCACACAUCCGGAAAGAGAGAGAUUGAGAUACAAUUGGCUACGUAGACAUACGUUGAGUGAUAGAGAGAGAUGAGAGUGACUAGACCGGUCAUGAUGGUUCUGUAGCGGGAACUGUCAGCCAUUUAGGGCUAAUUUCAAUAGCAUUGACAAGGGUUUGCUGUGUCUGAUUCAAUCAAGAACGGAGGUUUUUCAUCUUUUUACAAUGGUGGCGGCUAUGGUUUUCACACGCUUUCUUCUGAGUUGUAACUCUACGAGAAGAAAAAAAGCAGAGAGAAAAAAUCAAAAUGCAAACCAUGCGACGUCAGACUCUAAUAUACUUGACAAGAUUGAUCAUUCGUGACACACAACUAUUUUGUUCAUUUCUUUUGCAAUUAAGUUUGAAAUAUUGAUUUUGUUUCUUCUAGGUGUUUCUAGACGUAUGGGUCUGAACUUACUGCUGCGGAUGUGUCAAUUGUUGUUGCUGAUAUCAUAUUUUCUAUACUGGAAGAGGCUUCUCUAUCUGAACAUGGAAGCAGCAUUGCACCAAAGACCUGCGACAAUCUACAAAAUCCAGAAACUUAUCCAAAAGGACAAAAUGCUAGAAACCAAGCUCUGUUGGAGUUUUUUACAACCAAACCCUGUUGGAGACACGUCUUUAAAUACCAGACACAGGAAGAAUUUGACCAAUUGUUCUUACAUCAACGUCGCAUUAGGCAUGAAUCAACUGUUGGUGUUGGCCUCCCUGUUAUAGCAUCAUUAAACCAUAUUAUUUCAUCCGGAGAUGAAGUUACUCAAAUAGUUGUGGACUUGAGUGGUAGUAGCAUUGUUGAAGUUGUUGGAGGAAGUUGGUGAAGCAAAUAAAUGGAGCUAUUGUGGAUCGAGUAACGGGUCAAAAUUGACAAGCAUUCAAAGGCUCUUGCAUCAAUCAUCUAGAUGUUAACUUUAUUGAAAUAGACUAGGUUAAUGCCCGCGCGAUGCGCGGCUUCAUCCAAAACCAUAUUAUUUACUUUGAAAUAUAAUAUUUUGUACAAACGCAUAAAAACCUAUUAAAAUCCAUAUAUAAUCUCAUAUUCUAUAACACGUCUGUAAAGUUUAGUAAUA